Molecule: ribosomal RNA, 780 nt
Filed under: Salmonella enterica
Lineage: Bacteria; Pseudomonadati; Pseudomonadota; Gammaproteobacteria; Enterobacterales; Enterobacteriaceae
Description: partial 23S ribosomal RNA
Rfam family: Bacterial large subunit ribosomal RNA
Source: RNAcentral
CACCCGAGACUCAGUGAAAUUGAACUCGCUGUGAAGAUGCAGUGUACCCGCGGCAAGACGGAAAGACCCCGUGAACCUUUACUAUAGCUUGACACUGAACAUUGAGCCUUGAUGUGUAGGAUAGGUGGGAGGCUUUGAAGUGUGGACGCCAGUCUGCGUGGAGCCGACCUUGAAAUACCACCCUUUAAUGUUUGAUGUUCUAACGUGGACCCGUUACCCGGGUUGCGGACAGUGUCUGGUGGGUAGUUUGACUGGGGCGGUCUCCUCCUAAAGAGUAACGGAGGAGCACGAAGGUUGGCUAAUCCUGGUCGGACAUCAGGAGGUUAGUGCAAUGGCAUAAGCCAGCUUGACUGCGAGCGUGACGGCGCGAGCAGGUGCGAAAGCAGGUCAUAGUGAUCCGGUGGUUCUGAAUGGAAGGGCCAUCGCUCAACGGAUAAAAGGUACUCCGGGGAUAACAGGCUGAUACCGCCCAAGAGUUCAUAUCGACGGCGGUGUUUGGCACCUCGAUGUCGGCUCAUCACAUCCUGGGGCUGAAGUAGGUCCCAAGGGUAUGGCUGUUCGCCAUUUAAAGUGGUACGCGAGCUGGGUUUAGAACGUCGUGAGACAGUUCGGUCCCUAUCUGCCGUGGGCGCUGGAGAACUGAGGGGGGCUGCUCCUAGUACGAGAGGACCGGAGUGGACGCAUCACUGGUGUUCGGGUUGUCAUGCCAAUGGCACUGCCCGGUAGCUAAAUGCGGAAGAGAUAAGUGCUGAAAGCAUCUAAGCACGAAACUUGCCCCGA